This 261-nucleotide long non-coding RNA is filed under the name Hordeum vulgare. RNAcentral's name for it is "long non-coding RNA (HVUL_LNC015337)". The record is from RNAcentral. Lineage: Eukaryota; Viridiplantae; Streptophyta; Magnoliopsida; Poales; Poaceae.
CGAGUUAAGCAACCAAAAUAAACUAUCUGUCAACACAAAUAAAAUAUGCAAAUCAAGAAAAGGAAAAUGACUCUAUUAGGCUCUGCUUGAUGUAUUAACAUUGAACUCUAGUAUAUGCUACUACAUCACAUGUUACAAAAGCUACAUAAUAAUCCAUCAUUUGUUUUGAACCACAUGUAAGAGUUAGGAUAUAACAAGAAGAGAUGCAUCACAGAGCCAGAAUAAUCCAUCAAAAGCUACUUCCCUGUACUUAGUACUGAU